AUAUGUAUAUAAUUUACAUAUGUAUAUCAUUUGUUGUUGUUAAAUAAGAGAAACAGGCAGCCUAAAAAGCUCAAACUUUAAUGAAAAAUGCUAGUUGCUGGACUUCUUACAAAUAAAAAAAAUUAUAACAAAGAAUUUUUAAAAAUAAUUUUUAAACAUGUAGAAGUUUUAGACGUCUUUGACAUGUAAUUUAAAUUAUUUAGAAAAGCCCAGCAAUAAAUCAAUAAUAAUACAUAAUAAUAAAUCAAUAAUAAUAAUAACUAAUAAUAAUAAUAAAUCAAUAAUAAAGUCCAAAAGUUAACAACAGAUUUACCCUUUAAAAAAAUAUAGAUUUACCCUACUGAUUCAUGCGAGUGAUCAAUUUGGUGUAACAUAGAUGGUAUGGUGUCGGGUUUUAAGCGAACAGUCUGGCCAGUCUUAUCAAAAUCUGUUUCCACAAAAUGGUACCACAGUGAUCCAUCUGGGUUAGUGUCAUGGUUUGGGUUUCUUUUUAUUGGUUUUUGCUUUCUGUCUUGUUCUGUCAUGGUUGAGUUCUGUUUCCUGUUUUAUUUUGAAAGGUUUCCUGUUUUGUCAUGUUUUUCAGUUUUACUUUCUUUGUCCCAAUCUGUCCUGAUCAUGUUCACCUGUGUCUUGUCUGCCCCGUCUGUAUUUAAGUCUCGUCUCUGCCUUGUUCUGUCAUGGUCCAUUAACGUCCUUAAUGUUUCUCAUGUAAUGUCUUUAACGUCCCUCCCUUCAUGCCAUGUUUUCAUGCUAUACCACAGUAAGUUUAGUUUUAGUUUUGUUACCCUGCUCUGAAGUGCCUUUUGUUAAUUAAACCCCUUGCCUUGGAACCGUGUGCCUCUGUCUCUGCAUUUUGGGUCUUCCACGCUCACCUGCCCCUCCCAACCUGACAGUUAGCUCUUUUUAUUGCUAAGGCCCACUUUUUCCUUAAGUCUGAAUCCAUUGGAAACCUGCAAGAAAAGUUCAGUCACUGAGUCAUAAAUGUAUAAAUCUAUAUUACUAUAAUAGCCUAUUCCUAGUAUACUGUAUAUAGGUUUAACACAAUAAAGUUUACAUGUUGACAGUAAAUUAAACGUACAUCAUGCAGCAUGUUGAUAAAAGCCCUGCAGCAUCAUGCAUGUCAACAUGUGUACUAUUAAAAAAAAAGUGUACUAUUAAUGAUGCACCUGCAGCUUUAAAAGAAAAAAAAUUGUAUUUACCUGUCAAAUG
RNAcentral lists this long non-coding RNA (1209 nucleotides) under Oryzias sinensis (Chinese medaka). Its description in RNAcentral is "lncRNA (ENSOSIG00000009587.1)". The record is from RNAcentral. Lineage: Eukaryota; Metazoa; Chordata; Actinopteri; Beloniformes; Adrianichthyidae.